This 464-nucleotide ribosomal RNA is filed under the name uncultured bacterium. RNAcentral describes it as "partial 16S ribosomal RNA". It matches the Rfam family "Bacterial small subunit ribosomal RNA", at positions 339 to 795 of the family's 1533-position model. The record is from RNAcentral.
CUACGGGACGCUGCAGUGAGGAAUUUUGCGCAAUGGGGGAAACCCUGACGCAGCAACGCCGCGUGAGUGAUGAAGAUUUUCGGAUCGUAAAGCUCUGUCAAGCGGGAAAAAAUACUUUCGGUUAAUAGCCGGAAGGACUGAUGGUACCGCUGGAGGAAGCACCGGCUAACUCCGUGCCAGCAGCCGCGGUAAUACGGAGGGUGCAAGCGUUGUUCGGAUUUACUGGGCGUAAAGAGCGUGUAGGCGGUUUAGCAAGUCAGAUGUGAAAGCCCUGGGCUCAACCCAGGAAGUGCAUUUGAAACUGCUAUACUCGAGUAUGGGAGAGGAGAUUGGAAUUCCCAGUGUAGAGGUGAAAUUCGUAGAUAUUGGGAGGAACACCGGUGGCGAAGGCGACUCUCUGGACCAAUACUGACGCUGAGACGCGAAAGCGUGGGGAGCAAACAGGAUUAGAUACCCCAGUAGUC